Molecule: ribosomal RNA, 495 nt
Filed under: uncultured bacterium
Lineage: Bacteria
Description: partial 16S ribosomal RNA
Rfam family: Bacterial small subunit ribosomal RNA
Source: RNAcentral
GAUGAACGCUGGCGGCGUGCCUAAUACAUGCAAGUAGAACGCUGAAGGAGGAGCUUGCUUCUCUGGAUGAGUUGCGAACGGGUGAGUAACGCGUAGGUAACCUGCCUGGUAGCGGGGGAUAACUAUUGGAAACGAUAGCUAAUACCGCAUAAUAGUAGAUGUCGCAUGACAUUUGCUUAAAAGGUGCAAUUGCAUCACUACCAGAUGGACCUGCGUUGUAUUAGCUAGUUGGUGAGGUAACGGCUCACCAAGGCAACGAUACAUAGCCGACCUGAGAGGGUGAUCGGCCACACUGGGACUGAGACACGGCCCAGACUCCUACGGGAGGCAGCAGUAGGGAAUCUUCGGCAAUGGACGGAGGUCUGACCGAGCAACGCCGCGUGAGUGAAGAAGGUUUUCGGAUCGUAAAGCUCUGUUGUAAGAGAAGAACGAGUGUGAGAGUGGAAAGUUCACACUGUGACGGUAUCUUACCAGAAAGGGACGGCUAACUACGUG